GCUUAUCACCAUUCCAGAUUGAAUAUACCCGAUCUCGUCUGAUCUCGGAAGUCAAGCAAUCUCGGGCUUGGUUAGUACUUGGAUGGGUGACCGCU
This is a non-coding RNA of Ciona savignyi (Pacific transparent sea squirt), 95 nucleotides long. NCBI's taxonomy places the organism in Eukaryota, Metazoa, Chordata, Ascidiacea, Phlebobranchia, Cionidae. The record is from Rfam.